GAUCGUCAAUUAAGGUCCCAAAGAUAUAGCUAAGUGGAAAACGAUGUGAUUUUGCAUAAACAACCAGGAUGUUGGCUCAGAAGCAGCCAUUCAUUCAAAGAGUGCGUAAUAGCUCACUGGUCGAGUGAAGUUGCGCGGAAAAUUACCGGGGCUAAGCUAUACACCGAAAUUGCGGAUUUAUAUUUGAAAGACAAUGUAAGUGGUAGAGGAGCAUUCUGUAGUAGGAAGAAGCAUGACCGUAAGGACAUGUGGACGAAGCAGAAGAGAGAAUGCUGGAAUAAGUAGCGAGAGGAUGGUGAGAAUCCAUCCCGUCGAAAAUCUAAGGUUUCCCAGGGAAGGUUCGUCCGCCUGGGGUAAGUCGGGACCUAAGGAGAGGCCGAAAGGCGUAUCUGAUGGAUAGCAGGUUGAAAUUCCUGCACUACGAAUAUACUUAAAAGAUUCAAGGGACGCAGAAGUGGAAGAUAACCAAGUAAGAGGAAAAGCUUGGCUCGCAAGAGGGAGUGAAAAUUAAAAGUAACGAAGUAUCAAGAAGCACGCUGACGAGAAAAGCUUGAAGAUAUUGUAUAUAAGUACCCGUACCGCAAACCGACACAGGUAGAUGAGGAGAGGAUCCUAAGACGAGCGGGAGAAGCAUUGUUAAGGAACUCGGCAAAUUGACCCCGUAACUUCGGAAUAAGGGGUGCCUAUGUAAAAGUAGGCCGCAGAGAAUAGGCCCAAGCAACUGUUUAACAAAAACACAGGUUUCUGCUAAAUCGAAAGAUGAAGUAUAGGAGCUGACGCCUGCCCAGUGCUGGAAGGUUAAGGGAAAGAGUUAGGGUUAAACCGAAGCUUAGAACUGAAGCCCCAGUGAACGGCGGCCGUAACUAUAACGGUCCUAAGGUAGCGAAAUUCCUUGUCAGGUAAGUUCUGACCCGCACGAAAGGCGUAAUGAUUUGGGCGCUGUCUCGACAAUGUCCCCGGCGAAAUUGUAGUACUAGUGAAGAUGCUAGUUACCUGCGAUAAGACAGAAAGACCCCAUGGAGCUUUACUGCAGUUUGAUACUGGGUUUCGAUGAUUUAUGUACAGGAUAGUUGGGAGACUAUGAAAGAGAGGCGUCAGCUUCUCCGGAGUCGUUGUUGGGAUACCAACCUUAAGUUAUUGAAAUUCUAACUUGUAAUCGUAAACCGGUUAGAGGACAAUGUCAGACGGGCAGUUUGACUGGGGCGGUCGCCUCCUAAAGAGUAACGGAGGCGCCCAAAGGUUUCCUCAGCGCGGACAGAAAUCGCGCGAAAGAGUGCAAAGGCAGAAGGAAGCUUAACUGAGAGACAGACAUGUCGACCAGAUACGAAAGUA
This 1332-nucleotide ribosomal RNA is filed under the name human gut metagenome. Its description in RNAcentral is "bacterial LSU rRNA". It matches the Rfam family "Bacterial large subunit ribosomal RNA", at positions 1030 to 2407 of the family's 2925-position model. The record is from RNAcentral.